Molecule: long non-coding RNA, 1753 nt
Filed under: Brassica napus (rape)
Lineage: Eukaryota; Viridiplantae; Streptophyta; Magnoliopsida; Brassicales; Brassicaceae
Description: long non-coding RNA (BNAP_LNC017219)
Source: RNAcentral
UGAAGUAAUCAUUGAAGUCGUUGCUCUUGCUGAGUGAGGGGUCUCUUUAACUCACGAGCUCUUCAGCCUUGGGAUGUCGUUUUCGGAAGCGUGCUCAAUUUGGGAACUUGAUAUAAAGCUUCUCUUAGAACAAAUCGUGCGUUGGAAUCUGUUCUUGUUAUCAUAUUUCUCUUCGUUGUAAUCUCUCUCGUCUAACUUACUGUCGUGGUGAUCGUAUCUUAUUGCGAUAGAAAUACGAUAGCUUUCGAACUUGUUCUUCCUUUUCUUAUGAGAGCUCGUUCUCUUGUCUUAUAAGAGGGCGGAAGAAGAUUCUUAUUAUCACGAUAAGAAUAUAAUUAUGUUUAUAGUUUUCUCCAUUCUUGGUUUUAUUGAGCUGUUUUGUCGGAUAUGGGAUUAUAUUCUCCGUUCUUGGUUUUAUUGAGCUGCUUUGUCGGAUAAAGGAUUAUAUUCUCCGUUCUUGGUUUUAUUGAGCUGCUUUGUCUGAUAAGGGAUUAUAUUCUGGUUAAAUACGUUGUCGUAUCUGACUCGUGAAGCAAUGGCGAACAUAUUAAUGGUCUUUAAGACUCUUGCUCUUCUUCUUUGAAAAGUGGAGGAAUCUGAUCUCUUGUGCAUAUGCGAUCUAUUGCGAUCACAUUUAGACAGCUCGAGAAAGCGUGACUCUCAUCGUUUGGCAAACAUGGAAACAUCAUGACAGAAAACAGCCACAUAUCUUCUCUGAAUUUUGUUGUUUCUGAUCUAGCAAGAUCAAUGCCAUCGCGGCUUGAUGGUUCAUUUGUUGCGGUAUCAGGAACCACAUGAGAUGGAUCCAUUUUCGUGCUUACAAGCCUUAGAUUGGUUUUUAACGAAGACACGAAGAAGAUAUGGGGGUUGAGAUUGAUGAUGGCAAGUCGUCUCUUUUUUCUGGGGCGGACCGGUUUGCUCGAUGGUCUCGGUGAAGUUUUGUCUUCGAUCUUCGCGUCGGGUUUGGAUAGAUCCGUAUCAUCGUUUCAUGGUUCAGUAGUAUCGAUGGCAGUGGAGGUCGGAUCCAUUCUCGUGCUUUCGAAGCUUAGGAUCGGGUUCCAAGUAAGGAUGUCUUUUGUCUAUCUUCCCCACAGUCGGCGCCAAAAUGUAGAUCCUAAAAUCUACACUAAGUAUUUGAUAUUGUUUGAGAUGUAAAACUUGGGAAGAAAGAACUUCGUGGGUGACAAUAUCCCCAGAACACAACGAUAGAAUUGGAUUCGAGUUGACAAUAAUGGACUUUAUUCUUAUGUCGAAUAAUAUCGAGAUCUCGGAGGAGAGAAAGAUCGUGACUGAACUCGGGGUCGAGCUGCCUACGUACCCGUCAAGGGAUCAAGUCUAAACAUAGUUCGAUUAUGAUCAUCACGGAUGAGAUAUCGGUUUCGUCGGUCUCGAGCGAGACGUCGGGUUCGUCUGGUUUCGUUCGUCUUGUGUGAGACAUUGACUAUGUGUAAACGGCAUCGUAUUUACGAGCUCUUGCCGUUUGCAUGAUCUAGGUUCAUCGUUGUGGUCAAUGAGAUUGUAACAUAAUGAUUCGAUAAUCAUGGAAGUGAUUAUAAGUAUUAUGGUUGUUUCUCCUAUUGAGUGAGGAAUCUCUUCAAGUCUCAAGCUCUCUUACCAAGACGUAGAGAACUAGAUUUCUUGUUUAAGUGUGAUCUUAUGUAGAGGAAGCAUGGUCUCCCCUUCCUCCUCUAAUAUUAUCUCUUCUUUUAUUUAUGUAUUUCUUUUUUUAUGAGAGCUUGUUCUCCCUCAAAAA